GCGGAUCUGAGGCAGCUGUGUGAGGUCUUGUGGACUGUAAUAACCAAGGUCAAAAUAUAGGCAAGGUUUUGAGUGAUCUACUGAUCAUCUCUUAAUUAAAUUGGUGGCCUCUAUGUCAAAGAGACCUGGUUUUAAUUUGAACAUAAUUGAACAGUCGCCGUAGCGUUAGCACGGACAAUAUACUUGUUAUACUCAGUGUAGUCAAUGUAUUUAAUCUCUUAGCAUGGCAAAAUUAGAGUACCGUAUUAUUAGAAAAAAACCUAUAUCGCACUUAAUUAGAGUGACCAUUUAGGUUUUGCAGCUAGCACCACUCUAAUAAUUCAUAUUUUCCACUUAAUUCGGUAACCUUUUAACUUGUAUCACAAAUCUAAAAUUUGAACUUACAACAACAUUGACAAGCAACAUUUUCUUCAACUGAAAUAAUUUCUUGCCUUGUUUUAGUAAAGAAUCAAGACCUUUUCUUAGUAAAGAAUUAAGACCUUUUCUUGAGCUAUAGCUGAAUAUUCCUCGCUGCUGGCGUUUUGCUUGCUUCUGGAACAGUAGGGAGAAAUUAUUAAUGUGUUGUCUGGCAUGUUGUUCAGCCAAAUAGCCACACUUGCGAAAAUAGGGUCUUCUGACAUUCAUCUAUUAACUGUAGAAGAAUGUCUCGUGGUAUUGUUAUAUUUUUUUUCUUCUAGAAAACAGGGUGACAUUUGCUUGGUAGUUGUCAAUAUUUUGAUCAGCUAUCCUGGUGCCAUGGUUGCAGGUUUACGUUAAGAGCACGUUUUUUACUCACUCCAUCUGCAAGCCUCAAGUAACCCCUUCAUUGACCAACUAUUUCUACUGUUUUUUGGCUUUUCUAUAUAGUUAGGAUAAGCCUCAAGUAACCCCUUCAUUGACCAACUAUUUCUACUGUUUUUUGGCUUUUCUAUAUAGUUAGGAUACUAUGGUUCUGUAAUGUUGUACAGUCUCAGUGUCAGAUAAAUGGACAAUAUUU
Molecule: long non-coding RNA, 976 nt
Filed under: Sorghum bicolor (sorghum)
Lineage: Eukaryota; Viridiplantae; Streptophyta; Magnoliopsida; Poales; Poaceae
Description: long non-coding RNA (SBIC_LNC017718)
Source: RNAcentral